Molecule: long non-coding RNA, 375 nt
Organism: Homo sapiens (human)
Lineage: Eukaryota; Metazoa; Chordata; Mammalia; Primates; Hominidae
Gene: TCAM1P
Product: testicular cell adhesion molecule 1, pseudogene
Source: Ensembl
AAAACGCUUCUGUUUGGUGUCUGGACCCUGCUGGCCUUGAUCCUUUGCCCAGACCCAGGACCCAGUGGAAUUGAGACCUUCUUAAAGAAAACUCAGGUGGGCAAAGGGCCUCAGUGGAAAGAGUUUCUUCUGGAGGAUGUCACAGAGAAUUCCAUCCUGCAGUGCUUCUUCUCUUGUGCAGGGAUUCAAAAGGACACAAGCCUUGGCAUCACUGUGUAUUAGCCACCAGAGCAAGUGAUCCUGGAGCUGCAGCCUGCCUGGGUGGCUGUGGACGAAGCCUUCACAGUGAAGUGUCAUGUACCCAGUGUAGCACCCUUGGAGAGUCUCACCCUUGCCCUUCUCCAGGGUAACCAAGAACUGCAUAGAAAGAACUUU